Long non-coding RNA from Quercus lobata, 199 nucleotides. RefSeq lists it as uncharacterized. NCBI's taxonomy places the organism in Eukaryota, Viridiplantae, Streptophyta, Magnoliopsida, Fagales, Fagaceae. The transcript is spliced from 2 exons. The record is from RefSeq and is a predicted model, not a curated record.
GCGGCAACCAAACACAAGAUUAGAGAGAAAACUGUACCUUGUGGUCAUUGAUACGAAGGAACAAAAGCAAAAGGUCUCAUCUCCUCUCUUCUCCUGUGUUCUUGGCAUUGCAAGGGCUUGGAGGAGUUCUUCCAUCGUUGGACUGAUUGUGGAAGAUUUUUGGUCUGUGAGUUUUCUGACAACUCGAAGAACAGGUUUU